Molecule: ribosomal RNA, 712 nt
Filed under: uncultured bacterium
Lineage: Bacteria
Description: bacterial SSU rRNA
Rfam family: Bacterial small subunit ribosomal RNA
Source: RNAcentral
AGAGUUUGAUGGUGGCUCAGGACGAACGCUGGCGGCGUUCUUAAUACAUGCAAGUCGAACGAGGGCCCAGAGCUUGCUCUGGAGACCCGAGUGGCGAACGGGCGAGUAACACGUGACCAACCUGUCCUAGGGCGAGGGACAACCCGGGGAAACCUGGGCUAAUACCACAUGAUGUCAUCGGAUCGCAUGGUCUGAUGAUCAAAGGGGGCCUCUGCUUGCAAGCUCCUGCCCAAGGAGGGGGUCGCGACGUAUCAGCUUGUUGGUGGGGUAACGGCCUACCAAGGCUACGACGCGUAGCGGAUCUGAGAGGAUGAUCCGUCACAUUGGGACUGAGAUACGGCCCAGACUCCUACGGGAGGCAGCAGUAGGGAAUAUUGCGCAAUGGGCGAAAGCCUGACGCAGCGACGCCGCGUGUGGGAGGAAGCCUUUCGGGGUGUAAACCACUGUCAGAGGGGAAGAACUCCGCCGUUUCGAAUAGGAUCGGCGACUGACGGUACCCUCAGAGGAAGCGCCGGCUAACUCCGUGCCAGCAGCCGCGGUAAGACGGAGGGCGCAAGCGUUGUUCGGAAUUACUGGGCGUAAAGCGCGGGCAGGUGGUUCGUUAAGUCGUUUGUGAAAAUCCGGGGCUCAACCCCGCGAAAUGCAAGCGAUACUGGCGAGCUGGAGAUCGGUAGAGGCUAGCGGAAUUCCUGGUGUAGCGGUGGAAUGCGUA